AUGAGGGCGACCGAGUGUGGGAAGGAAGCGUGGAGCGUAAAUCGUGAGCCGAUGAACAAGAACUGCAUAGAAGGCGCUGCCGAGCAGGGCGAGCGGGCAUAAAACCGCGAAGCUCUUGUGAUCAAGGAGCGCAGGCGUAGAUCAGGCGGUUGUGCUGUGAAGGAGUGCGUUC
Molecule: non-coding RNA, 172 nt
Filed under: Paraburkholderia lycopersici
Lineage: Bacteria; Pseudomonadati; Pseudomonadota; Betaproteobacteria; Burkholderiales; Burkholderiaceae
Source: RNAcentral